UUUAAUUGGUUUGUAACAGGUUUUGAGUUCCGUUUGAGAGUCUUUAUUCAACCACAGCCAUCAACAAAAGUUUUAGUGGGUUUUCAAAACCAUGACAACUGCCGCAGAUUGAACAGUUUUGUCAACGCUCUUGGAUUCCCACUAUACAUGAGACAGACACCUGCAAUAGUCAAAAGAAUUGAUUAUGACACACCACGAUGCCUAGAAAGCUGGCCAGCAAGGAGAGAUUGGCAUCUGAUUUGAUGCAUGCUCCACUAUUCUAUUCGUACCUUAUAGUUAAAAAGUUUGCCAAAUGGCUUUUUAGUAAAAAAGACUAAACUUUGAUUUUCACCUCAAAGAGUUAAUUACUUAAUUUUUCCUUUU
This 363-nucleotide long non-coding RNA is filed under the name Glycine max (soybean). RNAcentral's name for it is "long non-coding RNA (GMAX_LNC000720)". The record is from RNAcentral. Lineage: Eukaryota; Viridiplantae; Streptophyta; Magnoliopsida; Fabales; Fabaceae.